GUGGGGAAUAUUGGACAAUGGGGGGAACCCUGAUCCAGCCAUGCCGCGUGUGUGAAGAAGGCCUUUUGGUUGUAAAGCACUUUAAGCGAGGAGGAGGCUACCGAGAUUAAUACUCUUGGAUAGUGGACGUUACUCGCAGAAUAAGCACAGGCUAACUCUGUGCCAGCAGCCGCGGUAAUACAGAGGGUGCAAGCGUUAAUCGGAUUUACUGGGCGUAAAGCGCGCGUAAGUGGCCAAUUAAGUCAAAUGUGAAAUCCCCGAGCUUAACUUGGGAAUUGCAUUCGAUACUGGUUUGCUAGAGUAUGGGAGAGGAUGGUAGAAUUCCAGUGGUAGCGGUGAAAUGCGUAGAGAUCUGGAGGAAUACCGAUGGCGAAGGCAGCCAUCUGGCCUAAUACUGACACUGAGGUGCGAAAGCAUGGGGAGCAAACAGGAUUAGAUACCCGGGUAGUCC
Molecule: ribosomal RNA, 451 nt
Filed under: uncultured bacterium
Lineage: Bacteria
Description: partial 16S ribosomal RNA
Rfam family: Bacterial small subunit ribosomal RNA
Source: RNAcentral